CGAAGGAAGAGCAAAGCCCUGUGAGAUGUCACAGAACUCAAGGACACCUGACAUCGCAGGAGAGCACUGCCCCACCUCCUCCGAGAGGAGAUGCUACAAGAAAGGAUGUCGUCUUGGUGGUCUUGAUCAGUCUGACUUCUACCCCACUGAGAUGGCAACUGGUACAGGGGACAACUAAGGGCCACCUGAGCUGCGACCAGUGGGAAAGAAAGGCAGCAGGCGGAAGCAAAGGAGAACUGAUAACCAGAUAGCAGGCGCCGGCAGGGGGCAACCUCCAAGACUCCUCGCUCUAAGACUGGUACCCUCUGAGCAGCUGAGAUAACCGUCCCCAUUUCUCCGUUGGGGGACAGGUUAGGCCUGCCCCUCCUGCAGUGCCCUCAGGGACCAGGUCUCCCCAUUUGAACCAAGAUCCAAACCAGGAGCUUUCUCACUCUAAUGCUGCUCUUUGCAUUGUUCUAUGGGCCUCAUCGUGGGAAGGGUGCACUAUGCUGAGGUGGCCUGCGGGUUGCCCCUGCCUCUGGAGUUCUAGCCGCUCAGAGGCCUCAGUCUCCGAAGAAGCAAUCAACCAUUUAUGGCUCCUGGGGUCCUAAGUGACAUCCAAGUGCAUCCAAGUGACAGUGUUUGCGGAAUUUCAAUCACGGAGGGUUCAUCGUAAUGAGCACCUUCAGCCAUGCGUUCACCUUGGCUCUCAAGUAAUUUCCCAUGAUUAAUGUCUGUGUGACCCAGGGCACGAUAAUAAA
Molecule: long non-coding RNA, 740 nt
Organism: Chinchilla lanigera (long-tailed chinchilla)
Lineage: Eukaryota; Metazoa; Chordata; Mammalia; Rodentia; Chinchillidae
Exons: 3
Source: RefSeq, a predicted model, not a curated record